GACGGACGCUGGCGGCGUGCUUAACACAUGCAAGUCGAGCGGUAAGGCCCUUUCGGGGGUACACGAGCGGCGAACGGGUGAGUAACACGUGGGUGACCUGCCCUCCAGCUCUGGGAUAAGACCUGGGAAACCGGGUCUAAUACUGGAUAUGACUCCAUGACGCAUGUUGUGGGGUGGAAAGCCUUGUGCGGCUGAGGAUGGGCCCGCGGCCUAUCAGCUUGUUGGUGGGGUGAGGCCUACCAAGGCGACGACGGGUAGCCGGCCUGAGAGGGCGACCGGCCACACUGGGACUGAGACACGGCCCAGACUCCUACGGGAGGCAGCAGUGGGGAAUCUUGCGCAAUGGGCGAAAGCCUGACGCAGCGACGCCGCGUGAGGGAUGACGGCCUCGGUUGUAA
RNAcentral lists this ribosomal RNA (398 nucleotides) under uncultured bacterium. RNAcentral describes it as "bacterial SSU rRNA". It matches the Rfam family "Bacterial small subunit ribosomal RNA", at positions 28 to 428 of the family's 1533-position model. The record is from RNAcentral.